GUGCUCAAUUCCACGGCAUACAUACUUAAGUUGGAAUACAGGGCAGAUUAGCAUGACUCUGCGCAAGGGUGGCAUGCAAAUCUGUGAAGUGUUCAAUAUUUUU
Molecule: small nuclear RNA, 103 nt
Organism: Manis pentadactyla (Chinese pangolin)
Lineage: Eukaryota; Metazoa; Chordata; Mammalia; Pholidota; Manidae
Source: RefSeq, a predicted model, not a curated record